CACACACACAUGUACUGCAAGCAGCCCUGUAAAAGAAGCUUGUAGCUGAUCCAUACCCAGUGUGUGUGUGCUCCUCUGGCGUCGUGCUGGAUGUAUGCAGGCCAACAAGGGUUAGGGAGAGAUUUGGACGUGUCCCCGUGCGCGUGUCCACUUAGGAGACACAUUUGUGCGUGCUACUGCCUGCGUGCAUUUUUAUAGAUGACCAAAAAGAGUGAUGUUCAAAGACCUUCAAGUAGGAUGCCAAGUGCCAACCGCUGUGCCGGACUGUUUGCUUUGCUUCUCCCUCUGCAGCCGUAAAAAUGAAGGGAAAUAAUCAGGAGAUAACCCACCACGCCACGCAUUCCUUCUCCUUUGUUCACUUUUAUCCCUCCGUUGGGUGGUGGUGGGGGGGUUAAUGCUCUAUUAUCAGCCUGCACACUAUAGGCUCCUGUGGUUGGGCAGUAAAAUCCCAAACCGUAUACUUCCUCCAGAGAGGGUCGUGAAGGAAAGGUACACCUUCUCAGCCAAACUCUGCACCCCCCCCCCGAGGGAAGCGGUGCGGAUGGAAGCCGAGCGGCCCGGAGCACCUGAACCAGGCCGGGCACACGACAGGAUGAGGGUGUCGGCCUCCUCCUGUUAAACGCUCGCUUCCUGCUGUUUUGCUGUUCUCUUUCUCCUCUUUUCUUUCUUUCAUCCCUCUCUUCUGGCAGGAAGUCAUUGGAGCGGAGUCAA
This is a long non-coding RNA of Gasterosteus aculeatus aculeatus (three-spined stickleback), 711 nucleotides long. The record is from Ensembl. NCBI's taxonomy places the organism in Eukaryota, Metazoa, Chordata, Actinopteri, Perciformes, Gasterosteidae.